UACGGGGGGGGCAAGCGUUGUUCGGAAUUACUGGGCGUAAAGGGCGCGUAGGCGGCUUUUCAAGUCGGGCGUGAAAUCUCCGGGCUUAACCCGGAAGGGUCGUUCGAUACUGUUGAGCUAGAGUGUGGAAGAGGCAACUAGAAUUCCGUGUGUAGCGGUGAAAUGCGUAGAUAUACGGAGGAGUACCUGAGGCGAAGGCGGGUUGCUGGGCCAACACUGACGCUGAGGCGCGAAAGCCAGGGGAGCAAACGGG
This 253-nucleotide ribosomal RNA is filed under the name uncultured bacterium. Its description in RNAcentral is "partial 16S ribosomal RNA". It matches the Rfam family "Bacterial small subunit ribosomal RNA", at positions 524 to 776 of the family's 1533-position model. The record is from RNAcentral.